RNAcentral lists this non-coding RNA (126 nucleotides) under uncultured Methanobrevibacter sp. RNAcentral describes it as "FMN riboswitch (RFN element)". It matches the Rfam family "FMN riboswitch aptamer (RFN element)". From Rfam's summary of the family: The RFN element is a highly conserved domain that is found frequently in the 5'-untranslated regions of prokaryotic mRNAs that encode for flavin mononucleotide (FMN) biosynthesis and transport proteins. This element is a metabolite-dependent riboswitch that directly binds FMN in the absence of proteins. Lineage: Archaea; Methanobacteriati; Methanobacteriota; Methanobacteria; Methanobacteriales; Methanobacteriaceae. The record is from RNAcentral.
CGUUCUCAGGGCGGAGUGAAAUUCUCCACCGGUGGUGAUUUUUUUAUAAAAAUAAGUCCAUGAGCACAAUUGUGUUGAUUUGGUGAGAUUCCAAAACCGACGGUUACAGUCCGGAUGAAAGAGAAG